Molecule: ribosomal RNA, 274 nt
Filed under: uncultured bacterium
Lineage: Bacteria
Description: partial 16S ribosomal RNA
Rfam family: Bacterial small subunit ribosomal RNA
Source: RNAcentral
AUACGGAGGUGGCGAGCGUUGUUCGGAUUUAUUGGGUGUAAAGGGUGUGUAGGUGGCUAGGUAAGUGAGGUGUGAAAUCCUGGAGCUCAACUCCAGAACUGCACUUCAUACUGCUUGGCUAGAGUCUCUGAGAGGCAAGGGGAAUUCCCGGUGUAGGGGUGAAAUCCGUAGAUAUCGGGAGGAACACCAAUAGCGAAGGCACCUUGCUGGUGGAAGACUGACACUGAAACACGAAAGCUAGGGGAGCAAACAGGAUUAGAUACCCCGGUAGUCC